CAAACAUGGUCAACCAUCUGUAGUUGCUGCUGCACAUGAUCCUGAAGAAGAAGCACCAACACAAGAAUCAAGAGACAAAACGCUAAAAAAGCUCUGUUAUAUCAAACUAGAAAAUGACAUAAAACAAAAAUGAACAGGAUACCACAUCACCAACGAUGUCAAAAAGUUCAAUCCAAUAUUAUAACUGCAAUUACAUAACCAUCAGAGUCACAAAGUAACAAAAUUGGUAGCAAAUAAAGUAAAAGGUAACAAGUUGUUAACUCACAGAAAUAUAGUAUUAGCAACAGAAAAAUCUCAUGUUCAUGUCAGAUAACACAUUUAUCAAAUCUGCAGAAUGGCCUUGAUCAUGAAAUACAACUUGAGAAUUAUAUAAACUGGUAAUGGAUGUGGAAAAAGAUAUUAUUGAAAAACACAAGGAAUUUCUUAAACAAAUUGCAUGAAAAAAAACAAAAGAGUAAGAUAACAGUCUUGCCAUUAAAUAUUGAACAUUUUACUAGAUACAAAGUCCAUGACAAGCCAUUCGAACUAAAGUUCUACAUCUUUCGAUCAUGUUCGCCAGAUCUUAAAAAAGCACAUAUGAAGUCUUCUACUUAUGGAUCAAGUGAAUGCAAUUAGGGGCAUCCACAGGUUUGGUUCGUAUAGAGUUUGGCCCU
Molecule: long non-coding RNA, 653 nt
Filed under: Phoenix dactylifera (date palm)
Lineage: Eukaryota; Viridiplantae; Streptophyta; Magnoliopsida; Arecales; Arecaceae
Description: long non-coding RNA (PDAC_LNC019860)
Source: RNAcentral